Molecule: unclassified non-coding RNA, 197 nt
Filed under: uncultured Cortinarius
Lineage: Eukaryota; Fungi; Basidiomycota; Agaricomycetes; Agaricales; Cortinariaceae
Description: sequence contains ITS2
Source: RNAcentral
AUAUAAAUAUAUCAAGCUUCUCUUGUUGAGUGGUUUGGAUGUGGGGGUUUUCUGCUGGGCCCUCUUAAAAAAGGGUUCAGCUCCCCUGAAAUGCAUUAGCAGAACAACCCUGUUCAUUGGUGUGAUAACUAUCUAUGCUAUUGAAUGUGAGGGGGGCAGUUCAGCUUUCUAACAGUCCUUGGGACAAUUCAUCAUUA